ACGGGGGGCCUACCAUGCAGUCGAGCGGGAGAGAGAAGCUUGCUUCUCUUGAGAGCGGCGGACGGGUGAGUAAUGCCUAGGAAUCUGCCUGGUAGUGGGGGAUAGCGUUCGGAAACGGACGCUAAUACCGCAUACCUCCUACGGGAGAAAGCAGGGGACCUUCGGGCCUUGCGCUAUCGGAUGAGCCUAGGUCGGAUUAGCUAGUUGGUGAGGUAAUGGCUCACCAAGGCGACGAUCCGUAACUGGUCUGAGAGGAUGAUCAGUCACACUGGAACUGAGACACGGUCCAGACUCCUACAGGAGGCAGCAGUGGGGAAUAUUGGACAAUGGGCGAAAGCCUGAUCCACCCAUGCCGCGUGUGUGAAGAAGGUCUUCGGAUUGUAAAGCACUUUAAGUUGGGAGGAAGGGUUGUAAAUUAAUACUCUGCUAUUUUGACGUUACCGACAGAAUAAGCACCGGCUAACUCUGUGCCAGCAGCCGCGGUAAUACAGAGGGUGCAAGCGUUAAUCGGAAUUACUGGGCGUAAAGCGCGCGUAGGUGGUUUGUUAAGUUGGAUGUGAAAUCCCCGGGCUCAACCUGGGAACUGCAUUCAAAACUGACUGACUAGAGUAUGGUAGAGGGUGGUGGAAUUUCCUGUGUAGCGGUGAAAUGCGUAGAUAUAGGAAGGAACACCAGUGGCGAAGGCGACCACCUGGACUAAUACUGACACUGAGGUGCGAAAGCGUGGGGAGCAAACGAGAUUAGAUACCCUGGUAGUCCACGCCGUAAACGAUGUCAACUAGCCGUUGGAAGCCUUGAGCUUUUAGUGGCGCAGCUAACGCAUUAAGUUGACCGCCUGGGGAGUACGGCCGCAAGGUUAAAACUCAGAUGAAUUGACGGAGGCCCGCACGAGCGCUGGAGCAUGUGGAUUAAGUGCGUAACAAUCGCUAGAACCCUUACCAGCCUUGACGAUCCUAAUGCAUCGUUUCUAGACGAUACAUAGAUGCAUCGGGACAUCGAGAACAUGUGACUGCAUGGCUGCAUCAGCUCGGUCCUUGAGAUGCUGGAAUUAGGUGCCGUUACGAGCGCCACCAUGUACCUAGUACUGACUUCAUGCUGAAUGUCUGAGGAACUACAUGCGAGUGACACAUCACCGCUGACAGAAACCGU
Molecule: ribosomal RNA, 1149 nt
Filed under: Pseudomonas gessardii
Lineage: Bacteria; Pseudomonadati; Pseudomonadota; Gammaproteobacteria; Pseudomonadales; Pseudomonadaceae
Description: bacterial SSU rRNA
Rfam family: Bacterial small subunit ribosomal RNA
Source: RNAcentral